Molecule: non-coding RNA, 84 nt
Organism: Bombyx mori (domestic silkworm)
Lineage: Eukaryota; Metazoa; Arthropoda; Insecta; Lepidoptera; Bombycidae
Source: Rfam
CUAACUCAAAUUUGUAUGGAGUUGGAACGUUUGCCUACGUUUGCCGCUAGGGGCGCUAUUCCAACUGUCUACAAAUUUGAGUUA